CUUUGAAGUGUGGACGCCAGUCUGCAUGGAGCCGACCUUGAAAUACCACCCUUUAAUGUUUGAUGUUCUAACGUUGGCCCCUAAUCGGGGUUGCGGACAGUGUCUGGUGGGUAGUUUGACUGGGGCGGUCUCCUCCUAAAGAGUAACGGAGGAGCACGAAGGUUGGCUAAUCCUGGUCGGACAUCAGGAGGUUAGUGCAAUGGCAUAAGCCAGCUUGACUGCGAGCGUGACGGCGCGAGCAGGUGCGAAAGCAGGUCAUAGUGAUCCGGUGGUUCUGAAUGGAAGGGCCAUCGCUCAACGGAUAAAAGGUACUCCGGGGAUAACAGGCUGAUACCGCCCAAGAGUUCAUAUCGACGGCGGUGUUUGGCACCUCGAUGUCGGCUCAUCACAUCCUGGGGCUGAAGUAGGUCCCAAGGGUAUGGCUGUUCGCCAUUUAAAGUGGUACGCGAGCUGGGUUUAGAACGUCGUGAGACAGUUCGGUCCCUAUCUGCCGUGGGCGCUGGAGAACUGAGGGGGGCUGCUCCUAGUACGAGAGGACCGGAGUGGACGCAUCACUGGUGUUCGGGUUGUCAUGCCAAUGGCACUGCCCGGUAGCUAAAUGCGGAAGAGAUAAGUGCUGAAAGCAUCUAAGCACGAAACUUGCCCCGAGAUGAGUUCUCCCUGAGACUUAGAGUCUCCUGAAGGAACGUUGAAGACGACGACGUUGAUAGGCCGGGUGUGUAAGCGCAGCGAUGCGUUGAGCUAACCGGUACUAAUGAACCGUGAGGCUUAACCUUACAACGCCGAAG
This 788-nucleotide ribosomal RNA is filed under the name Escherichia coli O6. RNAcentral describes it as "partial 23S ribosomal RNA". It matches the Rfam family "Bacterial large subunit ribosomal RNA", at positions 2155 to 2925 of the family's 2925-position model. The record is from RNAcentral. Lineage: Bacteria; Pseudomonadati; Pseudomonadota; Gammaproteobacteria; Enterobacterales; Enterobacteriaceae.